CCUACGGGAGGCAGCAGUGAGGGAUAUUGGUCAAUGGGGGAAACCCUGAACCAGCAACGCCGCGUGAGGGAAGACGGUUUUCGGAUUGGAAACCUCUUUUCUCUGUGAAGAUAAUGACGGUAGCAGAGGAGGAAUCACCGUCUAACUACGGGCCAGCAGCCGCGGCAAUACGUCGGGAGCCAGCGUUGUCCGGAUUUACUGGGUGUAAAGGGUGCGUAGUCGGUCCUGCAAGUCAGAAGUGAAAUCCUUGGGCUUAACCCGGGAACUGCUUUUGAAACUGUAGGGCUUGAGUGAAGUAGGGGCAGGCGGAAUUCACGGUGUAGCGGUGAAAUGCGUAGAGAUCGGGAGGAACACCAGUGGCGAAGGCG
Molecule: ribosomal RNA, 368 nt
Filed under: uncultured bacterium
Lineage: Bacteria
Description: partial 16S ribosomal RNA
Rfam family: Bacterial small subunit ribosomal RNA
Source: RNAcentral